GACAGAGGCCCCAAGCGUUAGGCGGAAUCACUGGGCUUAAAGCGUGUGUAGGCGGAUCGUUAAGUGUCUUGUGAAAUCCCACGGCUCACCCGUGGAACUGCUGGGCAUACUGGCGAUCUUGGGCCAACUAGGGGCAGUCGGAACAAGCGGUGGAGCGGUGAAAUGCGUAGAUAUCGCUUGGAACGCCGAAGGUGAAAACAGGUAGCUGGGAGUGUGCUGACGCUGAGACACGAAAGCCAGGGGAGCAAACGGG
Molecule: ribosomal RNA, 253 nt
Filed under: uncultured bacterium
Lineage: Bacteria
Description: partial 16S ribosomal RNA
Rfam family: Bacterial small subunit ribosomal RNA
Source: RNAcentral